UCAAUCUAGUCGCUAGUCAAUCCCUGGUACAGCCUUCGUCGUUGUUAGGCUCCUCAAUCCCCUCGCACAGGCGCCGCCGCCAACCCUGCCCUCGAUCGUGGCGCCGCCGGCGUCCCUCCUGUCGCUCGUGCCGCCGCCGUCGCCGACCCUCGCACAGCCGCAGCCGCCUGCUCUCCUCUGCUGCCCCAGCGCCCCGAGCAUCGCCCCGUUGAAUAGGCGCUCCCCACGGCAGCGCCUCCUCCCUGGAUCAGCCACUGACGGCCAUCAACGCCCGCGACCCAAUCCAUAGGAAGGACGAGUAUCCCUCCCAGCCCCCUGCGCCGCCGUCUGCCUCUGACGAUUCCACACGCGUGUAGGCGACAAUGGAACAAAUUCAGACAUUCAAAGAUAUUCAUCCGUCAGAAUAUUCAGGUUUGCCAUGUGAAGAAAAAGGAUAUGUGGGAGCUUUUGGAUGGACAAAGGCUCCAGCAAUGAAGAGAAGAGAGCUGCAUUCCCUACUUGCAAUUCUAGUAACUAUCUUUGUUAUAACUUGUAGAGUGUACCC
Triticum aestivum (bread wheat) is the source of this 544-nucleotide long non-coding RNA. RefSeq lists it as uncharacterized. Lineage: Eukaryota; Viridiplantae; Streptophyta; Magnoliopsida; Poales; Poaceae. The record is from RefSeq and is a predicted model, not a curated record. The transcript is spliced from 3 exons.